AUUGAACGCUGGCGGCAGGCUUAACACAUGCAAGUCGAGCGGGGGAAGGUAGCUUGCUACCGGACCUAGCGGCGGACGGGUGAGUAAUGCUUAGGAAUCUGCCUAUUAGUGGGGGACAACAUCUCGAAAGGGAUGCUAAUACCGCAUACGUCCUACGGGAGAAAGCAGGGGAUCUUCGGACCUUGCGCUAAUAGAUGAGCCUAAGUCGGAUUAGCUAGUUGGUGGGGUAAAGGCCUACCAAGGCGACGAUCUGUAGCGGGUCUGAGAGGAUGAGCCGCCACACUGGGACUGAGACACGGCCCAGACUCCUACGGGAGGCAGCAGUGGGGAAUAUUGGACAAUGGGGGGAACCCUGAUCCAGCCAUGCCGCGUGUGCGAAGAAGGCCUUAUGGUUGUAAAGCACUUCAAGCGAGGAGGAGGCUACUUUAGUUAAUACCUAGAGAUAGUGGACGUUACUCGCAGAAUAAGCACCGGCUAACUCUGUGCCAGCCGCCGCCGUAA
Molecule: ribosomal RNA, 501 nt
Filed under: uncultured bacterium
Lineage: Bacteria
Description: partial 16S ribosomal RNA
Rfam family: Bacterial small subunit ribosomal RNA
Source: RNAcentral